This 253-nucleotide ribosomal RNA is filed under the name uncultured bacterium. RNAcentral's name for it is "partial 16S ribosomal RNA". It matches the Rfam family "Bacterial small subunit ribosomal RNA", at positions 524 to 776 of the family's 1533-position model. The record is from RNAcentral.
UACAGAGGUGGCAAGCGUUGUUCGGAAUUACUGGGCGUAAAGGGCGCGUAGGCGGCCAUCUAAGUCAGACGUGAAAUCCCCCGGCUUAACCUGGGAACUGCGUCUGAUACUGGAAGGCUUGAGUAUGGGAGAGGGAUGUAGAAUUCCAGGUGUAGCGGUGAAAUGCGUAGAUAUCUGGAGGAAUACCGGUGGCGAAGGCGGAUCUCUGGGCCUUACCUGACGCUGAGGCGCGAAAGCUAGGGGAGCGAACAGG